Molecule: non-coding RNA, 28 nt
Filed under: Bombyx mori (domestic silkworm)
Lineage: Eukaryota; Metazoa; Arthropoda; Insecta; Lepidoptera; Bombycidae
Source: RNAcentral
UGUCGACUGGUUUGAUGGUUCUUCCGAA